RNAcentral lists this ribosomal RNA (2904 nucleotides) under Escherichia coli. RNAcentral describes it as "23S ribosomal RNA". It matches the Rfam family "Bacterial large subunit ribosomal RNA". The record is from RNAcentral. Lineage: Bacteria; Pseudomonadati; Pseudomonadota; Gammaproteobacteria; Enterobacterales; Enterobacteriaceae.
GGUUAAGCGACUAAGCGUACACGGUGGAUGCCCUGGCAGUCAGAGGCGAUGAAGGACGUGCUAAUCUGCGAUAAGCGUCGGUAAGGUGAUAUGAACCGUUAUAACCGGCGAUUUCCGAAUGGGGAAACCCAGUGUGUUUCGACACACUAUCAUUAACUGAAUCCAUAGGUUAAUGAGGCGAACCGGGGGAACUGAAACAUCUAAGUACCCCGAGGAAAAGAAAUCAACCGAGAUUCCCCCAGUAGCGGCGAGCGAACGGGGAGGAGCCCAGAGCCUGAAUCAGUGUGUGUGUUAGUGGAAGCGUCUGGAAAGGCGCGCGAUACAGGGUGACAGCCCCGUACACAAAAAUGCACAUGCUGUGAGCUCGAUGAGUAGGGCGGGACACGUGGUAUCCUGUCUGAAUAUGGGGGGACCAUCCUCCAAGGCUAAAUACUCCUGACUGACCGAUAGUGAACCAGUACCGUGAGGGAAAGGCGAAAAGAACCCCGGCGAGGGGAGUGAAAAAGAACCUGAAACCGUGUACGUACAAGCAGUGGGAGCACGCUUAGGCGUGUGACUGCGUACCUUUUGUAUAAUGGGUCAGCGACUUAUAUUCUGUAGCAAGGUUAACCGAAUAGGGGAGCCGAAGGGAAACCGAGUCUUAACUGGGCGUUAAGUUGCAGGGUAUAGACCCGAAACCCGGUGAUCUAGCCAUGGGCAGGUUGAAGGUUGGGUAACACUAACUGGAGGACCGAACCGACUAAUGUUGAAAAAUUAGCGGAUGACUUGUGGCUGGGGGUGAAAGGCCAAUCAAACCGGGAGAUAGCUGGUUCUCCCCGAAAGCUAUUUAGGUAGCGCCUCGUGAAUUCAUCUCCGGGGGUAGAGCACUGUUUCGGCAAGGGGGUCAUCCCGACUUACCAACCCGAUGCAAACUGCGAAUACCGGAGAAUGUUAUCACGGGAGACACACGGCGGGUGCUAACGUCCGUCGUGAAGAGGGAAACAACCCAGACCGCCAGCUAAGGUCCCAAAGUCAUGGUUAAGUGGGAAACGAUGUGGGAAGGCCCAGACAGCCAGGAUGUUGGCUUAGAAGCAGCCAUCAUUUAAAGAAAGCGUAAUAGCUCACUGGUCGAGUCGGCCUGCGCGGAAGAUGUAACGGGGCUAAACCAUGCACCGAAGCUGCGGCAGCGACGCUGAUGCGUUGUUGGGUAGGGGAGCGUUCUGUAAGCCUGCGAAGGUGUGCUGUGAGGCAUGCUGGAGGUAUCAGAAGUGCGAAUGCUGACAUAAGUAACGAUAAAGCGGGUGAAAAGCCCGCUCGCCGGAAGACCAAGGGUUCCUGUCCAACGUUAAUCGGGGCAGGGUGAGUCGACCCCUAAGGCGAGGCCGAAAGGCGUAGUCGAUGGGAAACAGGUUAAUAUUCCUGUACUUGGUGUUACUGCGAAGGGGGGACGGAGAAGGCUAUGUUGGCCGGGCGACGGUUGUCCCGGUUUAAGCGUGUAGGCUGGUUUUCCAGGCAAAUCCGGAAAAUCAAGGCUGAGGCGUGAUGACGAGGCACUACGGUGCUGAAGCAACAAAUGCCCUGCUUCCAGGAAAAGCCUCUAAGCAUCAGGUAACAUCAAAUCGUACCCCAAACCGACACAGGUGGUCAGGUAGAGAAUACCAAGGCGCUUGAGAGAACUCGGGUGAAGGAACUAGGCAAAAUGGUGCCGUAACUUCGGGAGAAGGCACGCUGAUAUGUAGGUGAAGUCCCUCGCGGAUGGAGCUGAAAUCAGUCGAAGAUACCAGCUGGCUGCAACUGUUUAUUAAAAACACAGCACUGUGCAAACACGAAAGUGGACGUAUACGGUGUGACGCCUGCCCGGUGCCGGAAGGUUAAUUGAUGGGGUUAGCGCAAGCGAAGCUCUUGAUCGAAGCCCCGGUAAACGGCGGCCGUAACUAUAACGGUCCUAAGGUAGCGAAAUUCCUUGUCGGGUAAGUUCCGACCUGCACGAAUGGCGUAAUGAUGGCCAGGCUGUCUCCACCCGAGACUCAGUGAAAUUGAACUCGCUGUGAAGAUGCAGUGUACCCGCGGCAAGACGGAAAGACCCCGUGAACCUUUACUAUAGCUUGACACUGAACAUUGAGCCUUGAUGUGUAGGAUAGGUGGGAGGCUUAGAAGUGUGGACGCCAGUCUGCAUGGAGCCGACCUUGAAAUACCACCCUUUAAUGUUUGAUGUUCUAACGUUGACCCGUAAUCCGGGUUGCGGACAGUGUCUGGUGGGUAGUUUGACUGGGGCGGUCUCCUCCUAAAGAGUAACGGAGGAGCACGAAGGUUGGCUAAUCCUGGUCGGACAUCAGGAGGUUAGUGCAAUGGCAUAAGCCAGCUUGACUGCGAGCGUGACGGCGCGAGCAGGUGCGAAAGCAGGUCAUAGUGAUCCGGUGGUUCUGAAUGGAAGGGCCAUCGCUCAACGGAUAAAAGGUACUCCGGGGAUAACAGGCUGAUACCGCCCAAGAGUUCAUAUCGACGGCGGUGUUUGGCACCUCGAUGUCGGCUCAUCACAUCCUGGGGCUGAAGUAGGUCCCAAGGGUAUGGCUGUUCGCCAUUUAAAGUGGUACGCGAGCUGGGUUUAGAACGUCGUGAGACAGUUCGGUCCCUAUCUGCCGUGGGCGCUGGAGAACUGAGGGGGGCUGCUCCUAGUACGAGAGGACCGGAGUGGACGCAUCACUGGUGUUCGGGUUGUCAUGCCAAUGGCACUGCCCGGUAGCUAAAUGCGGAAGAGAUAAGUGCUGAAAGCAUCUAAGCACGAAACUUGCCCCGAGAUGAGUUCUCCCUGACUCCUUGAGAGUCCUGAAGGAACGUUGAAGACGACGACGUUGAUAGGCCGGGUGUGUAAGCGCAGCGAUGCGUUGAGCUAACCGGUACUAAUGAACCGUGAGGCUUAACCUU